UGCGCAUCAACUUCUACCCCUACCUUCUCCCGGUACUGGCCGGGGUUACGAACAACCUUAGAGAAUAUCGGCUUACCAUCCCAUUGUGACUUUGGGGGAAUGCUGACAGGGAAGG
Aedes aegypti (yellow fever mosquito) is the source of this 115-nucleotide non-coding RNA. The record is from Rfam. NCBI's taxonomy places the organism in Eukaryota, Metazoa, Arthropoda, Insecta, Diptera, Culicidae.